Long non-coding RNA from Anolis carolinensis (green anole), 1605 nucleotides. RefSeq lists it as uncharacterized. The record is from RefSeq and is a predicted model, not a curated record. The transcript has 5 exons. Lineage: Eukaryota; Metazoa; Chordata; Lepidosauria; Squamata; Anolidae.
AUCAGAAAGCCCCAGUCAGCAUAGGGGAGAGAUUUGUCUUUCUGUAGCAGCAGCCAGCCAGAAGUCCAAUACAUUGUUGAAUCUGCAAAGAGGAGGACUGACUGAUACUUCUAAGGUGAAAAGAAGGAAACAAGAAGAGAAGAAGACAGUUGCUGAGACAUUUUUAAAGCAUCAGAAAAAUGGGGCCACAGAGAUUUAGAAGGGAUUAUCCUUGGCAAACUGGGACAGUUGGAGGGUAAGGCUGAUGAGAAUGAGGUCUUUACAUCUUUUUCAUAUAAAAACAGGUAAAUGUACUAAAGUUGACAUCACUGGCAGUUGAUCCUUGCGUCAAGUAUUGCCAAUGAGAUCAGAUCCUCCGUUGCAUUAAAGGGCAGCAGCUCACAGAAGGAGAGGACUGAACAAACAGGAAUUUGUUUUUACUACAUUGCUUUUUACUACAUUUUACUCCACUGCUGUUGCUUCACUGCCUGAUGGCAAGUGAUGUCAAGAAAUAGUCCUUUUGAAAAACAGACACAGGAAGACUAGAAAACCAAAAACAGAGAAUUCAGCAGCACGAGGGCCAUGAUCAGACAUUUGAAACAAAAUGGCAAAAAUGUUCACUCUCCAGGGCUUGAAUGAAGAUCACAAUGGAUCCCUUACUAAGCAAUAGAUCAGCUGCCCUCAAUCCUGAGGAGUUCUGAUCUGUUGGAAUAAAAGUCCCAACAUCCCCAUGCAGCAUAGCAAUUUCUAUGAAUGAGAGAAUUUGCAUUCAAAACAUUUGAAGGCCUCCUGCUUGGAAAAGUCUGUUGCUGAAGACCAUGGUCAUUGGGCAGGCAACACAAAUGGAAAGUGUACAUCAGAAAAGGACAUCGUUAAAAAAGUACAAAAUCCAAGAUGCAAGCAGGCUGGCAGGUUUGGAGCAAUUCCAACAUUUGCAGAAAUAAAGAGCUUUAAAAAGCCCCCAAAAUUAAACCCAGGAUUCUGAAAACACAACUAUUAAGCAUAUAAACUUAAUAGUCACAUAAUGCUGAGCAAUAGUAGGGAAAUAAAACUGAAAAACUGUGGUUGGACCAACAUAGAAUACUCUACUACAGAAGGGCAGAGUUGGAAUACUAAACCAAAGUGUGUUGGCAAUUAAAAACCCUUUGCAACAGUUAGUUGCAGAGUCCAUUAUAUAAUUUAUUAGUAAAUCAUAGUGUUUGAUCUGACAAUAUUUAAACCAAAGCACACACCGAUAUUCAAUUUUAUAUCUAAAACUUACAGAACCAAAAAAUAUAAAGAAGUUGAAAUGAAAUGUUGCAUCAAUAUUGAAAUCUUACAGAAUUUCAGAGUUCAGAUUUCAGUUUUUGGCUUUUAAAUAUUUAAGAAUUUCACCCAAAAAUGUAGCAGAGUAGCAGUCAUGAUUUACUAUUUAUAAAAUUUGGCUGAUGGGUGCUGAAACAACAAAUUACCAUCAAGUUGUAGUCUUCUUUCUGUCAAAAUAUAAAUUCAAAAAUAUCCAUACUUAGAGAUCAUAGAAUCACAGAAGCUGAAAAUGUCACAUGACAGGAUUGUUCUGAUUGUUUCAAACAAAUCUGAAAUAAGAAGUCCUUGAGCAUUUCCAAAUAAAAUUUCCUCCAAGUUUAA